UGCAAGAAGCAUUGUCAGAUAUGAAUGGACC
RNAcentral lists this non-coding RNA (31 nucleotides) under Rattus norvegicus (Norway rat). The record is from RNAcentral. Lineage: Eukaryota; Metazoa; Chordata; Mammalia; Rodentia; Muridae.